This 440-nucleotide ribosomal RNA is filed under the name uncultured bacterium. RNAcentral describes it as "partial 16S ribosomal RNA". It matches the Rfam family "Bacterial small subunit ribosomal RNA", at positions 338 to 795 of the family's 1533-position model. The record is from RNAcentral.
CCUACGGGCGGCAGCAGUGGGGAAUAUUGCACAAUGGGGGGAACCCUGAUGCAGCGACGCCGCGUGAGCGAGGAAGUAUUUCGGUAUGUAAAGCUCUAUCAGCAGGGACGAAAAAAGACGGUACCUGACUAAGAAGCCCCGGCUAACUACGUGCCAGCAGCCGCGGUAAUACGUAGGGGGCAAGCGUUAUCCGGAUUUACUGGGUUUAAAGGGUGCGCAGGCGGAGGUGAAAGUCAGCGGUAAAAUUGCGGGGCUCAACACCGUACUGCCGUUGAAACUGCAUCCCUUGAGUGCGCGAGAAGUAUGCGGAAUGCGUGGGGUAGCGGUGAAAUGCAUAGAUAUCACGCAGAACUCCGAUUGCGAAGGCAGCAUACCGGCGCGCAACUGACGCUCAUGCACGAAAGCGUGGGUAUCGAACAGGAUUAGAUACCCUAGUAGUC